AUUGAACGCUGGCGGCAGGCCUAACACAUGCAAGUCGAGCGGCUCGGCGGACGGGUGAGUAAUGCUUAGGAAUCUGCCUGGUAGUGGGGGAUAACGUCCGGUAACGGGCGCUAAUACCGCAUACUCUUACCUGCGCAUGGGUCGGUUUAGCUAGUUGGUUGGGUAAAGGCCUACCAAGGCGACGAUCCGUAACUGGGCUGAGAGGAUGAUCAGUCACACUGGAACUGAGACACGGUCCAGACUCCUACGGGAGGCAGCAGUGGGGAAUAUUGGACAAUGGGCGAAAGCCUGAUGCAGCCAUGCCGCGUGUGUGAAGAAGGUCUUCGGAUUGUAAAGCACUUUAAGUUGGGAGGCGUUACCAACAGAAUAAGCACCGGCUAACUUCGUGCCAGCAGCCGCGGUAAUAC
RNAcentral lists this ribosomal RNA (407 nucleotides) under uncultured bacterium. RNAcentral describes it as "partial 16S ribosomal RNA". It matches the Rfam family "Bacterial small subunit ribosomal RNA", at positions 30 to 526 of the family's 1533-position model. The record is from RNAcentral.